AGUGAACGCUGGCGGUAGGCCUAACACAUGCAAGUCGAACGGCAGCACAGUAAGAGCUUGCUCUUACGGGUGGCGAGUGGCGGACGGGUGAGGAAUACAUCGGAAUCUACUUUUUCGUGGGGGAUAACGUAGGGAAACUUACGCUAAUACCGCAUACGACCUACGGGUGAAAGCAGGGGAUCUUCGGACCUUACGCGAUUGAAUGAGCCGAUGUCGGAUUAGCUAGUUGGCGGGGUAAAGGCCCACCAAGGCGACGAUCCGUAGCUGGUCUGAGAGGAUGAUCAGCCACACUGGAACUGAGACACGGUCCAGACUCCUACGUGAGGCAGCAGUGGGGAAUAUUGGACAAUGGGCGCAAGCCUGAUCCAGCCAUACCGCGUGGGUGAAGAAGGCCUUCGGGUUGUAAAGCCCUUUUGUUGGGAAAGAAAAGCAGCAGGUUAAUACCCCGCUGUUCUGACGGUACCCAAAGAAUAAGCACCGGCUAACUUCGUG
RNAcentral lists this ribosomal RNA (492 nucleotides) under uncultured bacterium. Its description in RNAcentral is "partial 16S ribosomal RNA". It matches the Rfam family "Bacterial small subunit ribosomal RNA", at positions 29 to 507 of the family's 1533-position model. The record is from RNAcentral.